AUACGUAGGGGGUAAGCGUUGUCCGGAAUGAUUGGGCGUAAAGGGCGCGUAGGCGGCUCGGUAAGUCUGGAGUGAAAGUCCUGGCUUCAAGUUGGGAAUUGCUUUGGAUACUGUCGGGCUUGAGUGCAGGAGAGGUUAGUGGAAUUCCCAGUGUAGCGGUGAAAUGCGUAGAGAUUGGGAGGAACACCAGUGGCGAAGGCGACUAACUGGACUGUAACUGACGCUGAGGCGCGAAAGUGUGGGGAGC
Molecule: ribosomal RNA, 247 nt
Filed under: uncultured bacterium
Lineage: Bacteria
Description: partial 16S ribosomal RNA
Rfam family: Bacterial small subunit ribosomal RNA
Source: RNAcentral